Molecule: transfer RNA, 73 nt
Filed under: Pseudothermotoga hypogea DSM 11164 = NBRC 106472
Lineage: Bacteria; Thermotogati; Thermotogota; Thermotogae; Thermotogales; Thermotogaceae
Rfam family: tRNA
About the family: Transfer RNA (tRNA) molecules are approximately 80 nucleotides in length. Their secondary structure includes four short double-helical elements and three loops (D, anti-codon, and T loops).
Source: Rfam by way of RNAcentral
GGGCCGUUAGCUCAGCAGGUAGAGCACCUGACUCUUAAUCAGGGGGUCGCAGGUUCGAAUCCUGCACGGCCCA